GAUAGUGCAAAGUAUGAUUCAAAUUGAAAGACUAGUGUGACAGAUUCAAAUUAGGACGGAAUUAUCCGAAUGGGUCCAUACUUCAGAUUUGUCAAACACAACAACGGAUUUAUAAAUAAAAAAAAAAAAAAAAAAGGCCAAAAAAAAAAGGGAAGGUAAAUUACACUUAUUACACACAGAACUCUCUUAUUACACUGACGCCCCUUAUUAAAUAGAGCAAAAAAAUCGACCUGUAAGAUCUGGUGUGUAUAUAUUUUGGUACGAGAUGAAAAUGGCUGAUGUGUUUGAAGAUGUAGCCAAACCCAAAGUUUCAAUCCAAGAGUAGCUAAAGGAUGUUGAGGAACAGGAGUUGGAAUGCUCAAAUAGAAGAGGUUAUAUGAAGAGGCAGGCGAUCUUCUCAUGCCUGACUUGCACCCUAGAUGGGAAUGCUGGGGUGCGCACAGCGUGUUUGCGAUGAUAGCCAUGAGAUUGUGGAAAUUCAAAAUUUGGGGAUUUCUGCUGUAAGCUUUCCCCAAAUAAAGAUAUAGAAAAUGUGGAGAAUUUAUAAAACCAUAACUUCAAAGGUUCAUACUGCAUGUGCGGUCGCCCGUAUCCUGAUCCAGAUGUUGAGGAACAAAUAGAGAUGAUUCAAUGAUGUCUAUCUGAGGACUGGUUUCAUGAGGUGCAUAUUGGUCUUGAGUCUUCUGAUGAGAUUCCACGAAAUGACGAAGGAGAGCUUCGUAUGAGGAUUUCUUCUGCCAGGCGUCCAGAGUAGUUUGUUCUUUCUUGACCAUUUAUCAUCAAACCAUUUAGGCAGUGGUUAGGCAGCAUCAUGCUACAAAUACAACCAAAGAAAAAGGUGGGUUGGAAGAUAAUCCUUCGGCUUGUGAAUCCUUGGGGAAGCCUGAGAAUGGCAUUUGUUCUCUCGACUCUUCUCCCAAAUUGGACUGCGCUGAAACUGGUGCUAAUUCUGAAGCUGUGUGCAAGGAAAAGGGUGCACUUGUAGAACAUGCUGAGAAAGAUAUGGUAUCCAAGCCUCCAAGGUGGCAGUCCAAGUGCGAUAUGUGUCCUUGGACUUGGUGUUAAUCUGGUUGUAGCUACCCCUGUUUUAGAAAAGAGUAAAUCAAAUGUUUCUUUCAAAAAAUUGGUGAGACAUUCUUUGCGGAUGUGAGCAAUGUGCAGAUUUCUACAAGCAGAAGAAAAUUGGUUUUUUUGCUCGACAGAGAGGACUGACUCAGUUGUGGAGUAUGAGAAAAUGGCAAAGCAGAGAAGGGACGAAAAAUUGCAGCAACAAGAGGGUGUCGAGUUAAACUUUCUCAACAAACUUGGCCACGUAGAGGAAAUGGAGGUUCUGAAAUGGCAUUGCUGACAUGAAGAAUGAGAUUGAUCAUGCUUUCCUGGUAUGUCCUUGGUAUUUGAAAGUUCAGUGCUUGAUUAGCAUCUCCCACACUACUUUUAUUGCAGAAAGAUACAGACAACAAUAUAUAUAUAUAUAUAGACACACACACGCGCGCGCGUGUGUGAGUGUGCAUAGUUAGAUGUUUGAAAUUUAAAAUAUUUACGUAUCUAUGUAUAAAUUUAAAAUAAUAAUUAUUUGCCAAUGUUGUCUGCAUGUAUCAACUCUAAAUUCCUCUUCAAAUCUCAUUGUCGUCAAACAAUGAAUCCAUUUUUCUUAUCAUAGUUAAUGUACUACAUAAAGAAAUCACGUUAACAGGAACU
This is a long non-coding RNA of Cornus florida, 1698 nucleotides long. RefSeq lists it as uncharacterized. The record is from RefSeq and is a predicted model, not a curated record. The transcript is spliced from 4 exons. Lineage: Eukaryota; Viridiplantae; Streptophyta; Magnoliopsida; Cornales; Cornaceae.